GAUGAACGCUGGCGGCGUGCCUAAUACAUGCAAGUCGAGCGAACAUACUCUGAUCUUGCCCCUCUGACGUUAGCGCCGCACGCGUGAGUAACACGUGUAAAAACUCCCUCUCAUACUCUGAUACCUCUAGGAAACCGGAGCUCUUAUCCGGUAAUAUAUUAUACCGCACGGUUCAAUUAUUUAAGACGUGUUUACUCUAACAUAUUGAUAUGUCCGCGCCGCAUUAGCUAGUUGGUAAGGUAACGGCUCACCAAGGCAACGAUGCGUAGCCGACCUGAGAGGGUGAUCGGCCACACUGGAACUGAGACACGGUCCAGACUCCUACGGGAGGCAGCAGUAGGGAAUCUUCCGCAAUGGGCGAAAGCUUGACGGAGCAACGCCGCGUGAGUGAUGAAGGUCUUCGGAUCGUAAAACUCUGUUAUUAGGGAAGAACAAAUGUGUAAGAAACUUAGCACGACGUGACGGUACCUAAUCAGAAAGCCACGGCUAACUACGUG
This 497-nucleotide ribosomal RNA is filed under the name uncultured bacterium. Its description in RNAcentral is "partial 16S ribosomal RNA". It matches the Rfam family "Bacterial small subunit ribosomal RNA", at positions 28 to 507 of the family's 1533-position model. The record is from RNAcentral.